Molecule: transfer RNA, 66 nt
Filed under: Ochthebius minoicus
Lineage: Eukaryota; Metazoa; Arthropoda; Insecta; Coleoptera; Hydraenidae
Description: tRNA-Pro
Source: RNAcentral
CAGAAGAUAGUUUAAAUAAAAUUUUAAUUUUGGAGAUUAAAAAUAAGGUAAUCGCCUUUCUUCUGA